Molecule: transfer RNA, 76 nt
Filed under: Enterobacter cloacae
Lineage: Bacteria; Pseudomonadati; Pseudomonadota; Gammaproteobacteria; Enterobacterales; Enterobacteriaceae
Also listed under: 16 other names
Description: tRNA-Ile
Rfam family: tRNA
About the family: Transfer RNA (tRNA) molecules are approximately 80 nucleotides in length. Their secondary structure includes four short double-helical elements and three loops (D, anti-codon, and T loops).
Source: RNAcentral
GGCCCUUUAGCUCAGCGGUUAGAGCGUGCGACUCAUAAUCGCCCGGUCGUUGGUUCAAACCCAACAAGGGCCACCA